This 67-nucleotide transfer RNA is filed under the name Vibrio alginolyticus. RNAcentral's name for it is "tRNA-Tyr". It matches the Rfam family "tRNA", at positions 10 to 63 of the family's 71-position model. From Rfam's summary of the family: Transfer RNA (tRNA) molecules are approximately 80 nucleotides in length. Lineage: Bacteria; Pseudomonadati; Pseudomonadota; Gammaproteobacteria; Vibrionales; Vibrionaceae. The record is from RNAcentral. RNAcentral also lists the same sequence under 145 other names.
UCCCGAGUGGCCAAAGGGAGCAGACUGUAAAUCUGCCGGCACUGCCUUCGAUGGUUCGAAUCCGUCC